This 709-nucleotide ribosomal RNA is filed under the name uncultured Verrucomicrobiota bacterium. RNAcentral's name for it is "bacterial SSU rRNA". It matches the Rfam family "Bacterial small subunit ribosomal RNA", at positions 99 to 795 of the family's 1533-position model. The record is from RNAcentral. Lineage: Bacteria; Pseudomonadati; Verrucomicrobiota.
CGGACGGGGGAGUAACGCGUGAGCAACCUGCCGUGAAGUGGGGGAUAGCUCGCCGAAAGGCGAAUUAAUACCGCAUGUGGCCAGGAAGGACAUCCUUCCGACGCCAAAGCCGGGGCAACCUGGCGCUUCUCGAGGGGCUCGCGGCCUAUCAGCUUGUUGGUGAGGUAACGGCUCACCAAGGCUAUGACGGGUAGCUGGUCUGAGAGGACGACCAGCCACACUGGAACUGAGACACGGUCCAGACACCUACGGGUGGCAGCAGUCGAGAAUUUUUCACAAUGGGGGAAACCCUGAUGGAGCGACGCCGCGUGGAGGAUGAAGGUUUUCGGAUUGUAAACUCCUGUCAUCAGAGAACAAGGCACACGGUUUAACUGGCCGUGUGUUGAUAGUAUCUGAAGAGGAAGAGACGGCUAACUCUGUGCCAGCAGCCGCGGUAAUACAGAGGUCUCAAGCGUUGUUCGGAUUCAUUGGGCGUAAAGGGUGCGUAGGUGGCGAUGUAAGUCGGAUGUGAAAUCUCCAAGCUUAACUUGGAAACUGCAUUCGAUACUGCGUUGCUAGAGGACUGUAGAGGGCAUUGGAAUUCACGGUGUAGCAGUGAAAUGCGUAGAUAUCGUGAGGAAGACCAGUGGCGAAGGCGAAUGCCUGGGCAGUUCCUGACACUGAGGCACGAAGGCCAGGGGAGCAAACGGGAUUAGAUACCCCUGUAGUC